UCCAGCCGCGAAAGCACGAUGAAUGCACCAGUUCAAAAUGGUUCACUGAAGUUAAGUAACGUUUCGUGUGGUUGGUAUACGGAUGGAUGAUCAUCUAGGCAAUAGCGUGCUGCUGGCU
This 118-nucleotide ribosomal RNA is filed under the name Diaphorina citri (Asian citrus psyllid). Lineage: Eukaryota; Metazoa; Arthropoda; Insecta; Hemiptera; Psyllidae. The record is from RNAcentral.